This 73-nucleotide transfer RNA is filed under the name Candidatus Wolfebacteria bacterium CG_4_10_14_0_2_um_filter_39_18. RNAcentral describes it as "tRNA-Arg". It matches the Rfam family "tRNA". From Rfam's summary of the family: Transfer RNA (tRNA) molecules are approximately 80 nucleotides in length. Their secondary structure includes four short double-helical elements and three loops (D, anti-codon, and T loops). Further hydrogen bonds mediate the characteristic L-shaped molecular structure. tRNAs have two regions of fundamental functional importance: the anti-codon, which is responsible for specific mRNA codon recognition, and the 3' end, to which the tRNAs corresponding amino acid is attached (by aminoacyl-tRNA synthetases). tRNAs cope with the degeneracy of the genetic code in two manners: having more than one tRNA (with a specific anti-codon) for a particular amino acid; and 'wobble' base-pairing, i.e. permitting non-standard base-pairing at the 3rd anti-codon position. Lineage: Bacteria; Candidatus Wolfeibacteriota. The record is from RNAcentral. RNAcentral also lists the same sequence under 1 other name.
GUCCCCGUAGCUCAGCGGAUAGAGCGCCUGGCUUCGAACCAGGAGGCCGAAGGUCCAAAUCCUUCCGGGGACA